CCAACAGGGAUUGCCUCAGUAACGGCGAGUGAAGCGGCAACAGCUCAAAUUUGAAAUCUGGCUCCUUCGGGGUCCGAGUUGUAAUUUGCAGAGGAUGCGUCGGGUACGGGUCCCUACCGAGUUCCCUGGAACGGGACGCCAUAGAGGGUGAGAGCCCCGUCUGGUAGGAUACCCAGCCCAUGUGACGCUCCCUCGACGAGUCGAGUAGUUUGGGAAUGCUGCUCUAACGGGAGGUAUACUCCUUCCAAAGCUAAAUACCGGCUGGAGACCGAUAGCGCACAAGUAGAGUGAUCGAAAGAUGAAAAGCACUUUGAAAAGAGAGUCAAACAGCACGUGAAAUUGUUAAAAGGGAAGCACUCGCUACCAGACUUGGGUUCGGCGGUUCAACCGGGGCCACGCCCCGGGGCAUUCCGCCGGCUCAGGCCAGCAUCAGCUUUCCGUCGGGGGCAAAGACGUCGGGAAUGUAGCUCCUCUUCGGGGGAGUGUUAUAGCCCGGCGUGUCAUACCCUUCGGGGGGCUGAGGUACGCGCUUCUGCAAGGAUGCUGGCGUAAUGGUAGCUAGUGACCCGUCUUGAAACACGGACCAAGGAGUCAACCUUAUGUGCGAGUGCCCGGGCGUAAAACCCCAGCGCGGAAUGAAAGUGAACGUAGGUGAGAGCUUCGGCGCAUCACCGACCGAUCCUGAUGUCCUCGGACGGAUUUGAGUGAGAGCAUAUAGGGUUGGACCCGAAAGAAGAUGAACUAUGCGUGUGUAGGGUGAAGCCAGAGGAAACUCUGGUGGAGGCUCGCAGCGGUUCUGACGUGCAAAUCGAUCGUCAAACAUGCGCAUGGGGGCGAAAGACUAAUCGAAUCUUC
This 855-nucleotide ribosomal RNA is filed under the name Plectosphaerella oligotrophica. RNAcentral describes it as "eukaryotic LSU rRNA". It matches the Rfam family "Eukaryotic large subunit ribosomal RNA", at positions 65 to 944 of the family's 3401-position model. The record is from RNAcentral. Lineage: Eukaryota; Fungi; Ascomycota; Sordariomycetes; Glomerellales; Plectosphaerellaceae.